GAUGAACGCUGGCGGCGUGCUUAACACAUGCAAGUCGAACGAAGCACUUUGAAAAGUUACUUUUUAGAGUGACUGAGUGGCGGACGGGUGAGUAACGCGUGGGUAACCUGCCUUACACAGGGGGAUAACAGUUAGAAAUGACUGCUAAUACCGCAUAACACAGUUGAACCGCAUGAUUUAACUGUCAAAGCUUUAUGUGCUGGAAGAUGGCCUCGCGUCUGAUUAGCUAGUUGGUGGGGUAACGGCCUACCAAGGCGACGAUCAGUAGCCGGUCUGAGAGGAUGAACGGCCACAUUGGGACUGAGAUACGGCCCAGACUCCUACGGGAGGCAGCAGUGGGGAAUAUUGGGCAAUGGACGCAAGUCUGACCCAGCAACGCCGCGUGAAGGAAGAAGGCUUUCGGGUUGUAAACUUCUUUUAAGUGGGAAGAGCAGAAGACGGUACCACUUGAAUAAGCCACGGCUAACUACGUG
This 473-nucleotide ribosomal RNA is filed under the name uncultured bacterium. RNAcentral describes it as "bacterial SSU rRNA". It matches the Rfam family "Bacterial small subunit ribosomal RNA", at positions 28 to 507 of the family's 1533-position model. The record is from RNAcentral.